Long non-coding RNA from Pogoniulus pusillus (Red-fronted tinkerbird), 4066 nucleotides. RefSeq lists it as uncharacterized. Lineage: Eukaryota; Metazoa; Chordata; Aves; Piciformes; Lybiidae. The transcript is spliced from 6 exons. The record is from RefSeq and is a predicted model, not a curated record.
UGAGUUUAAGUUGGGCACGUAUUUUUUUUUAGCUCUUUGUGCGAGGAAGUUGAUGCCAAAAAAAAAAAAAAGGGAAUGAGUUUAUGCUGGAUAUUCAUUAAGGGCUUCUCAAAUACCUUUCCAGCUUAGGAAUGACUAUUGCUGGACAAAUGAGUUUGUUGCAGUGCUGUGAGGGUGUCUGUGGGCUUUGCAGGGCUUUUGAAUCAGUAACACAAUGCAAACAGCCCUCCCUGUGCUGAUGCCUGAACUGAUGUGCUGCGAGGCUCCCCUUCCAUCUUCAAAGUCCUAGCCCAGCUGCAAACAACACCUGAAGGCCCUUGAGGUGAGCCUGCUCAGUGAAGGACAACAAAGGUGGUGAAGGAUCCAGAGAAGAGUUCUGGAUGAUGGUGCAGAAGGUUGGUGUUGGCUGGGGAGAUGGUUUAAGGCUGUUUUGGAGCUCCCCUGGCCUGCUGUUCCGCACAAGGAGUCUGUCUGGCCCAUUCUGGAGCUGCGUCAGAGAUCUAGCAUUGAGCUGAGUCCGUGAAGGACGUGAUCUGCCCUUGGUUACGAGUAUUUCCAGGGAUUCUUCAGCAACGGGCACUCUGCCACAGCCAGCAAAUUGUGGGUGGACUGUUCCAGUGGACAACUGCUAAAAAUACACAGCAACCUCUUUGGAUGUCCAGCUACCAAAUCCCACUUUGCCAGCCCUGAAGCAAGCCUUCCCGGAACCCACAACAGAGCUGCCAGGGUGUCCGAGGUGUCUGACGGAGUAACCACCUCUUGUUGGGUUUCUGCUGCUCAUUUGAGGAGAGGCAAUGGAGCAGGGGUUACAGGAUUGCUGCUGAUCAAUCCACACUGGAAAGACACUGACACGGAGUGACAAAGAGACGCAGCGAGUGAAGGUUCCCAUCAGACAUUUACAGGAGGAAAGUUCUCCUCAUGUACCCAAUACUAGAAAAGACUCAAACAGUGGACAUCAGGAGAUAAAUCCUCUGGGCCUUUUCCACCAUGCAUGAUACAGAUCUAUCUUACAGAGUGCACCAGGGCAAGUGGAAAUGGAUUUUGCCCCUUAAGGAGCUGUUUGCAUUUAGAAAAAAAAAACCAAAAAACAGGUACCCCCACUGCUGAACACUUUAUCUCCUCUGUUACCUGCAGUAGUGACUACAAACAGCUGGAGCAGUUCCUAUUUUCCAGUGCAUAAUCAACUGGACUUUCUGGACCACACUCUUUGUACAUGACUUUCUUUCAGAAGAAAAGGGGAAAAGAAAAGGAAAAAAAAAAGAAAAGUCAAUUUAAAAAGUAAAUAGCAGGCCAGCUUUAAAACCACAGGUGGCAAGGGGUGCAGUCAGAAUGACUGCUUUUAUGCUGCCCAGAUCUCUAGUUAACAGCCUUUUUAAAGGCCAAAAAUACUAAUUGCAAAACUGUAUUCUCCUUAGUAGCCAUCUGCAAUUAUGUUUGUGGCCUCAGCUGCAAUAAUGCACCAAGCAAAAAGAUCUCAGCAGCAGCCUUCUGAGAAACACGAAGUUUCUCCACAGGGAUCUGACUGUUCAUUUACACAUUGCCAUCAAGAACACAGACUCGUCCUCUCUCCAGCAAUCCUGGAACUGAUGCUGGGCUCAUGGGCACCCACUUUUCAUUGCCGCCUUCAGCACUCUGCUUCGCUCACAGGAUGAAGAGCAACCUGCCUGAUGGUGCUGUGGUGCUGGAAUGCAGCACAGAGAGCACAAACACCAGGCACAGCACAAGGACUUUGCUUUGAGUAGGAGAAGAGAACAAAAUUUAACACAUUACUGAACAGUGUCAAAAAUGCCUCUUUAAACUGCAAAAUUCUUCUCCAGCUUUUUAGCAGACCUGCUGAUUCUCAAAUAACCAGCUGGAAUAACCUCUGGAGAUACUGCUUGAAGGGAAAUUAUUCUGUUGUAGAAGACAUAAAUAUGGGCUUCUCUCCCCACAAGGAGAGGAGGGCCCAGCCAGCAUGUGAGAGCAACACAGGCAGAGUGCUGAGACAGGAAAAAGGACAAAGCUGAAUUGCUAGGAGGUGUUAUAUGCUUAGGUUCUCUCUCAGGUUUGUUCCAGGCUGGUACAUUAGUGUAAACUGACUUUUUUUUUGCUGGCUCAGUACCUGACUCUGCUAACACUUUGAGUAAGGAAGAAUUUGUCAGAAUUAUUUUUUUAAAAACUUUUUUACCUCCAGGUUUAGAAACUCCCAAGAGAUUCAGAUUUUUCUCACCUCACUGCAUUUGGAUUAUUACUUACCUAUAUUGUGAAUAAAUUAUUAUAAUAUCUUUUUAGGAAAAAAAAAACUACAACCAAACCACCAACAUUUUUCUCAUCUGUCACUGCAUACCAAAUAAGCAGGUUUUAAGACCCUGGGGGGAUUUACAGCAAAUUUAUUUACCCUCAUUGAGGGAAACUACAUUCAACUUACCAAGGAAAAGUGUUGUAAUUCCCUUCUGCUGUACAGGCAUUAGCAAAUUGAAACCACUUCAGUAUGAAUUACCCUGCCAUUGCUAUAGAACUGGGAUUUUUUAGCUCUACUACAAAUAUCUUCUCCCCUGCAAGCUUUUUGAAAUACAUUACUACUCUGAUCUUCAUUUCUGCAGCAUGCAGGCCAUUCAUUGUUCUUCGUGGCAACUGGGUACCGAAAUUGUGCUAAAAGGCUUAGGAAAAUCAGAGUUUGUUCUGCCAGGGCAUUUGCAAGUAAACUCCAGCAAAUCACACCAAGAGAGGUACUUCUCCUUAGCUGCCUGUGCUAGACCUCAGAUAUGUUUUUUUUUUUCCCAUGGAAGUGAGGUGUGAAUCAGCAGGAUCCAGCUGCUAGAAGGAGCACUGUCUCUGCAAACAUGUCCUGAACUUCAGAAAGUGCCUGGCUGAGCUUCUGUGAAAUCAAAUCACUGAGCAGAAUUAGUUCUGUUCUAACGCAAACCAGGUCAGCUCCUCUGCUGCUUGCCAUUUGAGGAUUUCCAGGACUUCUGAUACGAUUAAUUGAUUGAAAGUAUUUUAUUGAGGGCAAAGGAGAGAGGCAAACAAACAAAAUUGCCUGUCAGAUAUCAUAAAAUACAGAGAGGAUGCUGCAGGAGCAUAAACCAUCACCUUAUCCCUCUGUUCAAACAGCAGAAUAUGCUCCACCUCCCAUUUGCUCAAUAAUCCCUAACAUCUCGCUGCUUAGGUUACUGGUGUAUAACAAAGCCACUUUUAUCCUGCUCUGCCCUUGCCUGGUGUUGAGAAAAAGGUAGGGAGAAAAGACAGGAUUCACUUUCAUGCAUAAAUCACUCUGUUAGCAGUCUCAUCACCUCCUGUUUCUUCAGCUCUUUGAGGCCUGCCAUUGGAGCAGGCUGAGAGGCACCUUGCUGAGUUACUAAUUGCCAAUACUCACACUCAGCGGCCGUCUUAUCAAUUGUCAGCACAUGAUAAAGCAGAUCGAUCGUGUGCCGAUCACCUGCUCCCUGAAUGGUCCAUGCUUCACAACAGAACUAAUUUUUCCUUUUCACCUGUUUCCAAGAUGUCUGCCCAAAAUUAAAAUAGGCAUACACAUUCCACUGCAGGGCCUCUCUCUUCAGGGGGUUCCAGUUUCUUCAGCUCCUGGAAUCUAACAGAGGCAGGUGCACAGUUCACAGAAAAAGGAUCCAUUUGUCAUGGGUCAGGAACGAGGCAGCUUUUCUCACUGACAAAUAUUUUGCUUCAUUAAAUUUCCUCUUCCUGCCUUUUUUUCCCCUUUUAAUCAAUUCUUUUCUUUGACUCACAUUGAACAGCCAGAGCAGAGCUUAGAUGACGGUUUGACCCUACAGUAAAUCCACCUCUAAUACAGGACUCAUGUCGCAGAAAUGCUGCAAAUGCACUCUCCCAACUCCAGUAUGGACUGAUCUGAUUUAAAUGCUCUUUCCCAACUCCAGUUUGGGUUUUAAAAUGUAGCAGGCUAAACUUUUGCAAGCAAAUUUUUAUCCUGGACUAGUUACCUCUUCUCUGCCACUCCCAACUGUAUGCUGCAUCAAUUGUCAUAGAUCCUUCUGCAGCUGGAAUAAGCUUCCUGUGUUUUAUUUUCUGCUUAUUUCAAUACAAAUUCAAUAAAAAGAUAGUUGAGAACUGU